Molecule: RNA transcript, 9356 nt
Organism: Centrocercus urophasianus (Greater sage-grouse)
Lineage: Eukaryota; Metazoa; Chordata; Aves; Galliformes; Phasianidae
Gene: CREB1
Gene name: cAMP responsive element binding protein 1
Exons: 13
Source: RefSeq, a predicted model, not a curated record
GAAAUGCUCAACUGGUGGUUUUGCUCCUGCUCUGGAGAGCUGUGGUGCCGCUGGGUAGAGAGAGGCCAGAGUAACUGGGCAGCACAGAGCGGUACACAAGAUUGGUAUUGUGGCUGUGGAGGUAACUAAAUGACCAUGGAAUCUGGAGCAGAGAACCAGCAGAGUGGAGAUGCAGCCGUUACAGAGGCAGAAACCCAACAGAUGACAGUACAGGCACAACCACAGAUUGCAACGUUAGCCCAGGUAUCUAUGCCAGCAGCUCACGCAACAUCUUCUGCACCCACGGUGACCUUAGUUCAGCUGCCCAAUGGGCAGACAGUUCAAGUGCACGGCGUAAUUCAGGCUGCCCAGCCAUCAGUUAUUCAGUCUCCACAGGUCCAGACAGUACAGAUCUCAACUAUAGCAGAAAGUGAAGACUCACAGGAAUCAGUGGACAGUGUCACAGACUCACAGAAACGGAGAGAAAUUCUUUCCAGACGACCCUCCUACAGAAAAAUUUUGAAUGACUUGUCCUCAGACGCCCCAGGAGUGCCAAGGAUUGAAGAGGAAAAGUCUGAAGAGGAAACAGCUGCACCUGCCAUCGCCACUGUUACGGUGCCAACUCCCAUUUACCAAACCAGCAGUGGGCAGUACAUUGCUAUUACGCAAGGAGGAGCAAUUCAGUUGUCUAACAAUGGCACAGAUGGAGUACAAGGUCUCCAGACAUUGACAAUGACCAAUGCAGCUGCAACACAACCUGGCACUACCAUUUUACAAUAUGCACAGACCACAGAUGGACAACAGAUACUUGUACCCAGCAACCAAGUUGUUGUACAAGCUGCCUCAGGAGACGUGCAGACCUACCAGAUUCGCACCGCCCCUACCAGCACCAUUGCACCUGGAGUAGUCAUGGCAUCAUCUCCAGCACUUCCAACCCAGCCAGCAGAAGAGGCCGCACGGAAGAGAGAAGUGCGUCUAAUGAAGAACAGAGAGGCAGCACGUGAAUGUCGCAGGAAGAAAAAGGAGUAUGUGAAAUGUCUAGAAAAUCGAGUGGCUGUGCUUGAAAACCAAAACAAGACACUGAUUGAGGAGUUGAAAGCACUUAAAGACCUUUACUGCCACAAAUCAGAUUAAUUUUGGAUUCCCAUUUUCACUUGUCCAGGUGGGAUGAGAGACUGGUUCUGGCUAUACCCAGAAAGACAAAGUAAACUUUUUAUUUUCUAAACAUUUCUUUUUUUUCUAUGCGCAAAACUGCCUGAAGCAACUACAGAAUAUACUUCGUCUGUGCUUUGCAUCAAACUGUGAAUGUUCAAAUAUUUGCCUCCACUUCUCCCCCUACAAGAUUAUUUUCAUCGUCAAAUAAUCUCAGCGUGAAGAAGAACAGGCUUCUUUCUCAUCUCCCAUCCUCUUCAAGGAGUUAAAAUGGUCACUUGGGAAGUUACUGCGGGGGAGGGUCCUUUUGUAAUGACGUCAAGAAUUUGUGCUGAGCUUUUUCCAUUGCCUUAGAGACAGAACUACCCCAGCCUCUUGGUCCAGAGAGCUGUGGGCCGCAUAUGUGAAGCACACAUGGUGCAAUGAAGAAGCAGUGGUUGCCAAAGUGGUUUCUCAUACUUAUUUUAAGCUAUAAAAAUACGUGUCUAGGUGGCAUGCCAAAUGAAAGGCACUUCACAGUCACAUUCUGAGUGUGGAGCUAAAAUACCUUUUCAAACUAGCCCAGGAGGAGUUCUUAUAUGUAAUCUACAUCACUAGUCCCUCCUGAACUACUGAAAACUCCAUGCCUCAGACACAAAUGGAUCGAAAUAAGCUUCACUGUUCAGUUGUUGCUUCUUGAAGCAUAGUGUGUGCAAAUGUGUGCAGCAUUCCGAAUGCACAAAAAAAAACCAUUGACUUCAUAUGUUACUGGUUGGCAAACAAGAUUUGAAUGGGAAAGGAAUCAGAAUGAAAAAGGUACAGCAGUGAUGCUUAGUAAACAGUCAGAUAAUAAGGCUAACACAUGAAAGCACUGCCUAUUUAUAUGCAGAACAACUAAGCAGUUGAAGCAUGGCCAACUCCACAUACAUACUCCCUGAUGACAGUAUGGUUUGUCUGAUGUCCUCUUAAGCGAUCAUGUAUUUCUAUUUCCCUACCACUAUCAUAUGUAAAGGAAAUUAUUGAACUUGAUAGAAGCAUUGUCCUGGUUUACUAGAUUAUUUUUCAAAUUUGGAGGAUGUUUUCCAUGCAUAAAUUAAAUUGCAGUAUGGUAACUGCCAGGACAACCUCAAAUAUUGAAGGGGACCUCAGACACAAAUAUUCCAACCGGCUUCUGCUUCUCAAGAGAUAAUAUUAAUUAUUUGAACUUGCCCAGGCUAAAUAGAUUCUUAAUUUAUUGAGAGGAUUUUUUUCAUGCAGAGGGUCAGAUUUAUCAAGUUGUUAAUGUAAGUAGAACUACUUACCUGCCUCAGAUUUUUGCAAGAUCAGACUUCUUGUGUGUACUAAGGAAACAUUUCUGGAUUUACAUUGUUAAAAAAGUGGAUAAUGUUAAAAAUAAUACUGUAAUCAGCAUUAGGACUUCCAUUAUGUGUCAAAAAGAAUCACACUCUGUUUGUUUCCUGGCCCCCUGCAGCCAGGCUCUUCAUAUUAACUUGAGUGAUUUGAUGGAGUAACUUUGGGCUUUUGGUCCAACUUCUACGUUUAGAGAUGUAUGAAUAAGACCCCGGUCUGUACCAACACCUUGCCUAGCAAAGUGUUAGCUCAUAUUUUUUUCCCAUUCUCUCUAUCUGUUCUUAAGAUAAAUUUCAAAGAUGAAUUUCUAAGAGGUUAUACAAUCAGUGUGACGUUGCAAGAACAUUUGCAAGACUCUUGGCAGUUGAGUCUCAAACAACUAAGCAGUAUUAAAAGUUGUAGUUUUCUCAUUUGAGAGGGCAUUCAGUUUCCAAGAGACUUUUAAAGGAGCAGGGUUAAACUUGUAGCAUUAUUUUUAAAUCUAGAGUUAUCAAUAAUUUCAGAUUGUAUUUCAAAUAAGAGAUCAUGAGUAUCAGAAUUAUGAAAGAAUUCAUUUUCAAAAUAAGUUUUGAGGGGGUUUAUAAAUGGUCUAUUUUUGUCUGCCAUAGAAAACUGAUUUUCAUGUUUUUAUUUAACAGAAUAUGAAUUUAUUAGUUUAGCAAUGGAAAUUUAAAGAAGACCCUAAAUUCUCAGCCUUGCCUACCUAAAAAUUGUCUGAUUCUUAAAGACAGAAAACACUUGCAUUUUUGACGGUUUCCAGUUCUUUAGAACUAACACUAGAAAUGUUGAUGAUGCAGGCGUAGUUCUCAUCAAAUAUGUAAGCUAAUGAUGGCUUAAUUGACAGAGUUACACAGAAUGGUUCCUCUGGCUUUGAGAAUUGUGUAAAAGGCCCUGAGUGCCUGCAUUAAGGCUGUUUGUUUUGCAGAACCACCUGUGUGCAAAAGCUUGAGGUUCUGUACUGCACCUCUGCGAGACUAGCUGGGAGCUGGGGGACGCUCCAAGCCAUGGCCGUGGGCACUCGUGGGCAGUCCCAGCACAGAGCCUGGCAGUGCAUGGACCAGGAGCCUACAGCUGGACCUGGACCUGUUUCUUCUGUCACAUGGCUGAACCAAAUCUGUGUGGCAGUGAGAGGAGAACUGCAUUACCUGUCUGUCUGUGUGUGGUCUGUGAGUAGUCUAUCGUGUCAUUACUGUAGACUGCAGUAGCAACAAACAUUUCACUGAGAAAAAGAAUGUUAUUUUAAAGUACAUAGGCAUCUCCAAGAAUCUUUAUUUUUAUUUAUGCUGCACUGAGGAUUCAAGGACUUGAAUUUCUUAAACAGAAAUUUUUAAUGACGAUGAUAAAAAAUGUAUUAGGCAGAGUACAGGUCUGACUAGUGCUACCCAUACGUGCUUUACUAUUCAUAGUGACCCAAAAGGGGAAGGAAUACGAUUCAGACAUUUGCUGAUGUGUUACUUACCAAGCAGUGAGAUUGGGGUAAUCAGCUUCUAUAAACUAAGGCCAUUUGGAAACAGGACAGCAGUAGUGCUGGCGGGGGGGAAGGUUAGUUUUAUGUCUCACGAUCGUGAGUUUUCUCGAACCGAUAGCCUGUUUUACCUGAGGAGAGGGUUAGAAAGGGCUAGAUCCAUUACGUUCAUAAUAAACGAGGAUUGAUUUGAAAUAUAAUUUUUGUAAUGUCAUUAUUUUGCAAAACUACAGCACCAGUCAGGCAGUUAAGAUAUUGUCAGAGGUGCUCUUUUAAUUUAGAUAUUCUUGGAAAAUACAUAUGUAUAAUAUAUGUACAUAUAUAUAUAUACACACAGUAUAUAAUCUACAGCUCUGAGAGCUUUUAAGUCAGGAAUGCUGAGUAUUAUAGUAUAUGGAGGUCAGAAAAAAUUUUUACUUCUGUGUGCGUCUGGGUGUGUGCGUGUGUGUGCGUGUGUGUGAAAGCCUCCCCCUGCCCAGUCCUUCUGGGCUGCAUUAUUUAGCGCUUAUUACUGAUUUGUUUUGUGCUGUUUCUCAGUUAUCCAUUUUUGAGAAUUGUAUUUCAUUUUUCAUGGCUUUUGUGAGUUGGUUUGUUUUUAUCUUUAUUCUUUUUUGACGGAGAUUUUUGAAAUGAUGUAAACAGUUGUUUUACAACAGCCACCACCCCCCAGAAUAACUCACUUUUGUGCUUUUUCUCUUUGGCAGCUAUAUAUCAAAGGCAAAACAAUUGGAAUGGUUGUUGAGGUGUUGCUUUUUAAAGGAACCACUGGAUUUUCCCUUUGCACUAAUCGAGAGGCAGAGCUAGAUAGGAAUGCAGGAGAGGGCACAUUUUAAGCAGUCGAUGGUAUCCUCAUGACAUGGCGUGCUGUAAGUAUUCAUGAGUAUUUUCCCAAACAGAGUGCUUUUAAAAUCUCAAUCAAUUUGAAUUAAUUUGAGAGUAAAUCCUGAAGACAAAGUUCCAUUCUUCCAAAGUUCCAAUCUUCCACUUCUGAUACUUAUUUUUAAACUUCCUUUCUUGUAUCUGUUUUGGUGGUACUUAGUUCUGUUGUUUAAUAAUGUGUGAAAGAUUUUUUUCCUUUCACAGUUUAAAUAUGCUAUCUUUCCCACUUUCAAGCAUUCCUCUUAAGCCAUGUACUGCUGAUUUUGAGAACAGAAGAGAAGGCAGCAAACAUUACAAAGAUCACAAAUUGAUUAUGUAAUCUGCAAGGUUGGAUCAAACCACGGGACAAAAGCCAGAACAAAUCCAUCACUGAUGCAAUGCACCAAGGGAAAGAAGAAAGGUCGACUCAUUAUGAGUGGGAUUUUGUGGUUUUCAUAACUAAGCACUUUCAUAGUGCUGUUCCUUUAUUUGUUCACAAAAUCCACAUCUCUGCAAUGAGGGGAAUCCCGGGCAGGUUAGUUUGUAAGAUAAAAAUGCAGUUUGUCUUGAACUUCACACUGAAGGAAUCAGGUAACACAGGUCCCUCUGCAGUCAGUACCUCAUCCAGUAAACCUGAUACUUCUGGUGCUGAGGCACCUUGAAGCUCUUUGUCUGUAAGAUACAGAGCUGAAUUUUGUACUCUGUCUUCGUAAUAAUAAAGCACCGGUUUUGCAAUGACACUGCAGUUUGUUCCCUCACAGAAUGGCACAUUUCAGAGACGGUUGCAGAAAAUCACAGUAUGUUCACGUCUACCCGAUCACUUCUCUGUGUCUUGGAUCUUCCCCCUAGGGUGCUGUCUUCCUUUCCUCAAAAGACUUCAACACUAGUUUGAAACUGCAAAUUCCCAGUAAGUACUGUUUUAGUGACACCGUGUGGCUUCUAAGUAUACAGUUGUAAGCAAGUGUAUUACAAAGCAUCCGCCCUCAGGCGGAAUUCAGAGCCAAGCAAAGAACUAAAGCUGAACACAGACAACAGAUUCUCCAGUGGCAAAAUGCAAGGCCUUCAGACCUUGUGGGUGGAAGCUAUAAUGACACGAUAUUUCCAGAAUACGGUAUGCAUGUCACUUCUGGAUCACAGACUCUCAGCAUCUUCUCAUUAGGAAGUCUGAUGGAAGCAGGUAUGGCCUCCACACUUGCAAGUUAGAUACAACCACUAAUUUCUAAGUCAGCUUGCUUUGAACUGUUGAUCCCCCUCCUACCACCCCAGCCCUGUUUUCCCUGCUCUUCUUCAGUUCAGUAGUGGUAGCAAUAGAACAGAUUUAUGGCAUCUGCCUUUGUUGGGUGUGCCCUUUGCAUGGCUUCUUUUACCACAGUGUUAAAAAUGCAGGUCUGAUGAGUUAAAACACUUUGUACUGAAGUCUUAGUUUAUUCCACUUUUCUAAAGUUGAAGAAGUGAUAAAAGGGAAAAAUCCCAUCUAAUCUAAUUGCUAAUAUAAGUUUCCUGUGAAAAUUAAGUGGGAAAAUUAAGAUUUUUAAACCACAGAUCUUUUGAUUACAUUUCUCAUGCAUGACAAUUUCUGCAACAUAAAUCAACUUCAAAAAUUAUUUGAUAAAAAGUCGUUGGAAGACCUUAUGUAUUUCUUACUGGGGAAUGAAGUGGAAAAUCAAUAUGCAGAAGGAGAAUAGGAACUUUCCCUGCUGGUUCAGACUGAGUAGAAAAAGAAGCCAGUGAAAUAACACAACCUCCAUAAUUAUAUGCUUAGGAACAAGUGUGUUUAGUAGGAACAAGGAGAGGUUUGAAAAGGAUCAGCAGUUUAUUAACAAAGUAUACAUUCAAAAGUCAUCUUUGUGACCAUGCCUCUGUGCUUUGUAGAUAUGAACAUCCUUACUGUAAUCAUAGUGGACCUCAUUUACAGAGAAACGGCCUUUCAGCAUCUUCAAGAAGUUGCUAUCCCGUUCAUAGCGGAUACGGCAGGAAAGAAGAAUCACAGUUUGCUCUGAGCACAGGUGCUCCAACGUCUGAAGCAGUUCCUCAAAAGUUUCUUCAAGAUAAAUGAUGUCUGCCCCCAGGAUGAAGUCAAAUGCUCCCGGAGAGAAGUUGCCUAGGUCUUUUCCCCAAGUUAGUUCCUUCACCACAGCCUUUGGGUGUAGUUCAGAAGGUAAGUUAGCCCACACGUUCAACUCCAGGAAUUCUAGUGCUGGCUCCCUGUCUGUGAUGGUAACGCGAGCACCUAAGUGGUACAGGAAUAUAUGUCUCAGAUAAAUGCUUGAUGUCCAUAAAUAGAGCAUCUGGAAUACAAAGCGUCAAGGUAAGCAGUCCUAAUAACUGCUGAGAUGCUUGAUUAAAAACAAAGGAACAAAACAAGCAGAAAUCCCACUGUCUGGACACAUCCCAUUCUUCAUUAGUCACUUAAGAAUAUAAAAUAUAUUCAUAUAUUCCACACGAAGAUUAAAUCAGGUUAAACAAAAAGGUUUUCUGGCGCUUUUUCUCAGUGCAUGAGAGUAAUUAUUUUCUGGUAUGUGACAACAAUUUUAAAAAGACUGUCACCAUUAACUUGCUCUGAUUCCUCAUUAGAAGAGAAGCAACUGAAGAGGUCCGAGAAAAUUUAUGCCUGUGUGAUUUCCUAUGGCAUUGCCACAUUUUGUCAAACUGCUUUGUUUUUAUUAUUUUAACAGGCACUUUCCACUGUCAGUACAGCCCUGAAUUACAUGAUAAUCUGCGACACUUAGCACAGAUUAAACAGUGCUCAGCCCCUGUCUCGGCCACAGUAGUACGCAAGGCAAAUCAUUCCUCCAGACCUUGGUUUCCCUGUCUGCAAGAUAGGCUAAUGUGGCUUUGUGUGCUCUCUGUCUGCAGCUUUAUCUGUGCUGCAUUUCAGGAGAAUUGAAAGACGACAAGCACAGCUCUUGCUCCCUGAGGGAGGAGAUCUGCAAAGCUCAGUGUUGCGAAGCAGACUGCCAUGGUAACAGCAUCAGUCUUAGCAAGGUCCCACCAUAAAGUAAACUGUGGUGGCACUAUCAGUACAGUAAAUAACACAGCAGGCUCUGAAGUCUGAUGAGGGAGGAAGAUGACUCAGGAUAUAUCACAGUUCACAUGUGUGGCUUUCAUAUGAACUUCUGCAUGUGGAUGUAAAAAUGCCAGUUUUACUACAGCUGUAAAUUGCUCACGGCAAACAAAACAACCCUUACCCAACAGUGUGGCCACUAUUCCCAGCAAUCCAGUUCCAGCUCCCAGCUCAAUCACCGACCGAUCCCUGAGAUCGAUGCCUCCCAUCUCCAGAUAAGCAGACAGGACGACAGCCUGAGCCAGGAGACAAGCAGGGUGAGAGCUUAGCACAGCAAUGAAGUUGGGAGAAAUGUAACUCGGUUCGCCUUUAAAUGCUGCAGAAGGCAAAAUGGACAUCUGAGCUGCAGAUAAACUUGCAAAGUAGGAAACUGCUCAUUGUAAGAAAUCUUCUCUUGGCUGCUAAAUGUUUAAAAUCCUUCCUUUGAAAUGAAUACAGCAGUUCUUGUGAUGGUUCUGCAUACUGCAUAUACCAAAUGGAUCUUGGAGACAUGCACAACGCGAGGAAAAUACUGCAUCCAUCUCACAGUCUCUGGUUGCCACGGCAAAGACAGCCAUGUUUCCAGGAAAAGACAAUACUGUGGCCCCUCUCCAAGUCACCCGCAGACUGAGGCUUGAGCUGGAGAGUGCUCCUGUGCCUGCAGCUGAGACACUUUCUAAGAAGAGAUGAGGGGACGAGGCCUCAGGCGUGGACUGCUGUUAUCUCCCAACAAACAAGCAAGGAGGGACACAGCCUUGGGAAAGCACAUGCAGCACAGAAUCAAGGUGCAGAUAAGAGCAGAAUGUACAGGAUUUAAAAUUCUUGGCCCUGUGAAGCACAACAAGCAUCUGCAAAGAGCUAGUCUCUGUUCUUGGGAUUGAGGCUGAUUGCCAAGCCAAUGGCUUAAGGGCCUGCAGUGUCCCUCCAAACAUUUAGGGAGACUCCUGGCUGCUCGACGCCAUUGGUGUGGACUAUAAUGCCCAUGGAUAUUGGAGUUUCCCAAGAGUUGUUCAGACAGGAGCUGGUAGUGAUGGCUUCCAGCUCUGCUCUCAGGGAUAAAGCUUCUCAUGGCUCUGUGUGGUGGAGCCUGGGCCGGAGAGCUGCGUGGCCAUGCGCUCCAGCACUUGGCUUUGGCAGCAGUCAAACACAAAUGUGCAUGGAUCUGCUGGCAAGGAACUGUGGUGGGGAAGGCCUGGGCUGGGCAGUGCAAGGGCUUGUCUGCAAACAGUGCCAGUAGGCAGCAACUCACGUGUGUGGGGCAAGCAGGCCAAGUGCAGAGCAGAAUCACCUCCCCGUGAGCCUGUGAGCAGGAGCACAGCACCUGCAGUGCCCUGCCAGGUCUGGCAGCCUUCCCUUGUUGUGCCCCCCACAUGCAGUGACACAGGUAGCUGGGCUCACGGCUCAGCAGCAGCAGCGUAGGCUCCAGUGCGUGAGCCCUUUGGGCUCCCCACGCGUUCAGCAAAGAGGGAAUCUGGUGCUUUGUGUUUUCAGAAUAAACCAUGGCUCUGUUCCAUCUCCAUGUUUAGGGAA